GAACACAAAAUGGCGACACGUGGUUAGCAUUCGUCGCCAACGAGAAAUUGGGGUCGGCCCGAAAGCUCUAGAAUGCACCCCCCUUCUUCCCCGGGGCCUUCCACCUCCGCGAGUUUUAUGACUUAAAAAACCCCACAGGCUGGUCUGAAGGUCGGAGGCCUAAUUUUAACGCGUUUUCCUCCCUUUAAUUUGAAACGCGAACGCGAAUGGCUGUAAAAUAGGAAGACAAACAUAAAGAUGAAGUGCUUAAUUCAAGGUCACACAAUGUCGGGGAUGGACCUCCAGAUUUCCUUACUGGAAAACAAGCUCAGGGCUCCCACUGAUUGUACAUUAUGAGACGGAGUCUUGCUAUGUUGCCCAGGCUGGUCUUGAACUCCUCACCUCAAGCGAUCCUCUCGUCUUGGCCUCCCAAGUGUCAGGAUUACAGGCAUGUGCUAUCACACCCAACCUGAUACAUUGCCUUUAUAAAUUUUUUUUUCUUUAUUCUAAAAACCAGAAAAAACAAAACUGGAUACAUGUGCAGAACAUGCAGACCAAGUGUGUUGGGGACUUGAGAUGCGUACAUGAGUGUUUGUGAUGUUUCCUGCCGAAAGCACAGGUGAGACGUGGUCUUGUAACACAGUGGUUAAGAAUGUGACUUUGGAGCCAGCCUGCUAGGGGCUGAAUUCUGACUCAGCCAUUUACUAACUGUGUGACCUUAGGCUGGAGUGCAAUGGCAUGAUCUCGGCUCACCACAAUCUCUGCUUCCUGGGUUCAAGCGAUUCUCCUGCCUCAGCCUCCCAAGUACCUGGGACUACAGGCACUCGCCACCAU
Molecule: non-coding RNA, 813 nt
Filed under: Pan troglodytes (chimpanzee)
Lineage: Eukaryota; Metazoa; Chordata; Mammalia; Primates; Hominidae
Source: RNAcentral